UCUCUCACUUGAACUCUUUUAUGAGUUUGAAGUUUGUUUGAAGAAUGUAUAAGGUGUGUCGAAGUAAAACAAAAAUGUGUACUUGACCUUUAUUUUUCCAUCUACUAUUCACUUGAACAUGUGUAUGAAGUCUAUUAACAUAUUCCUCUAAUUUGAGCACAGAUCUGAAGACAAUGAGUAAAAGGGUGGAAUCAGAACAAUAUUACGUGACAUUUGAGAUGUUUGUUGAGGAUGUGAGAAGAAUGUUUGGGAAUGCACGCACCUAUAAUUCUCCAGAAACCAUAUAUUACAAAUGUGCUACAAGGCAUGGUGCUUCAACCUUCUGUGUAUUU
Molecule: long non-coding RNA, 332 nt
Filed under: Lathyrus oleraceus (garden pea)
Lineage: Eukaryota; Viridiplantae; Streptophyta; Magnoliopsida; Fabales; Fabaceae
Description: Pisum sativum (pea) long non-coding RNA (PSAT_LNC009429)
Source: RNAcentral